UCUCCCACGAACUCUAAGACACGAUAGUUUUUACAUAAUUUUUUUUUCUUUAUUUUACAGCUUAACCCUCCCAAUGAGAGUCCCAUAAAAACCAUCCGAUGACGAAGAUCUUAACUAGAGGAUAGAAAAGUGAUGAUGCAUUUGAUGGUUGCAUCUUGUACAUAUUUCUGCAGAAGAAUCGGAAGAAGGAGAGAAAGAGAGAAGCCAUGAGAUUAAAGGAAAGGAUAAAAGGAAAGGAACGAUUUUAGUGUCGGGCACUGGGAAUAGUUUGGGGUGACCUGGAACCGUCGGGCACUCAGCGGCAAGGCGGGGGACUAAGGAAACCCUUGAAAUCAAUAGCCGGCCGCUACUGCCGCCGCCACCCUGAUCAGGCUCCGUUCUGCGCUGCACAUUCGUCCCCUCGCAUCAUCCACCUCCCUCUUUUUACAGCUUUUCUCUCUCUCUCUCUCUCUCUCCUCUGAUUUUGAUUUAUCUGCACGUCGUAGCCGAAGAAAUCAGGAGCCUCACUUCAGUUUGCGCUCGAACGUUCCGCUAGUACGGACACACGUCAUUCGUUGACUUUUUUAGCGGUGUUCCAUGUGACGGUGAAGAAGUAGGAGACUAGGGUGGGACGAUCAUGAAUCAGCCAAAAAUAAAUCAAACCUCUCUCUUUCCCUUUUCUUCUCUCCCUCUCUCUUUUCUUCUUCUCCUUAUCUUUAUCAUUUAUCUGUCAUAUUGAGGUAGUCGAUGAUAAUGUAUUUGAUAAUUUAGCAAAAGAAUGAUUCGAAGGUUUAAACUCUAAUAAAUUUAAAUAGGAACUGAAA
Molecule: long non-coding RNA, 803 nt
Organism: Vespula pensylvanica (western yellowjacket)
Lineage: Eukaryota; Metazoa; Arthropoda; Insecta; Hymenoptera; Vespidae
Exons: 2
Source: RefSeq, a predicted model, not a curated record